RNAcentral lists this ribosomal RNA (460 nucleotides) under uncultured bacterium. RNAcentral describes it as "partial 16S ribosomal RNA". It matches the Rfam family "Bacterial small subunit ribosomal RNA", at positions 338 to 795 of the family's 1533-position model. The record is from RNAcentral.
CCUACGGGUGGCAGCAGUGAGGAAUAUUGGUCAAUGGACGAGAGUCUGAACCAGCCAAGUAGCGUGAAGGAUGACUGCCCUAUGGGUUGUAAACUUCUUUUAUAUGGGAAUAAAAUGUUCCACGUGUGGGAUUUUGUAUGUACCAUAUGAAUAAGGAUCGGCUAACUCCGUGCCAGCAGCCGCGGUAAUACGGAGGAUCCGAGCGUUAUCCGGAUUUAUUGGGUUUAAAGGGAGAGUAGGUGGAUUGUUAAGUCAGUUGUGAAAGUUUGCGGCUCAACCGUAAAAUUGCAGUUGAAACUGGCAGUCUUGAGUACAGUAGAGGUGGGCGGAAUUCGUGGUGUAGCGGUGAAAUGCUUAGAUAUCACGAAGAACUCCGAUUGCGAAGGCAGUUCACUGAACUGCAACUGACACUGAGGCUCGAAAGUGUGGGUAUCAAACAGGAUUAGAUACCCUAGUAGUC